GUGGGGAAUAUUGCGCAAUGGGGGAAACCCUGACGCAGCAACGCCGCGUGAUUGAAGAAGGCCUUCGGGUUGUAAAGCACUUUCAGCGGGGAGGAAGGCGGUGAGGUUAAUAACCUCACCGAUUGACGUUACCCGCAGAAGAAGCACCGGCUAACUCCGUGCCAGCAGCCGCGGUAAUACGGAGGGUGCAAGCGUUAAUCGGAAUUACUGGGCGUAAAGCGCACGCAGGCGGUCUGUCAAGUCGGAUGUGAAAUCCCCGGGCUUAACCUGGGAACUGCGUUCGAAACUGGCAGGCUAGAGUCUUGUAGAGGGGGGUAGAAUUCCAGGUGUAGCGGUGAAAUGCGUAGAGAUCUGGAGGAAUACCGGUGGCGAAGGCGGCCCCCUGGACAAAGACUGACGCUCAGGUGCGAAAGCGUGGGGAGCAAACAGGAUUAGAAACCCGAGUAGUCC
Molecule: ribosomal RNA, 450 nt
Filed under: uncultured bacterium
Lineage: Bacteria
Description: partial 16S ribosomal RNA
Rfam family: Bacterial small subunit ribosomal RNA
Source: RNAcentral